RNAcentral lists this ribosomal RNA (468 nucleotides) under uncultured bacterium. RNAcentral's name for it is "partial 16S ribosomal RNA". It matches the Rfam family "Bacterial small subunit ribosomal RNA", at positions 28 to 507 of the family's 1533-position model. The record is from RNAcentral.
GACGAACGCUGGCGGCGUGCUUAACACAUGCAAGUCGAACGGAAAGGCCCUGCUUUUGUGGUGUGCUCGAGUGGCGAACGGGUGAAUAACACGUGAGUACCCUGCCCUUGACUGGGGUAUACCUUCGGAAAACUGUGGCUAAUACCGUAUAGGAGCUCCGGCUGCAUGGUGGGGGUUGGAAAUUUUCGGCGGGUGGGGAUGGACUCGCGUCUUAUCAGCUUGUUGGUGGGGUAGUGGCUUACCAAGGCGUGGACGGGUAGCCGGCCUGGGAGGGUGAACGGCCAGAUUGGGACUGAGAUAAGGCCCAGACUCCUACGGGAGGCAGCAGUGGGGAAUAUGGCACAAUGGGCGGAAGACUGAUGCAGCAACGCCGCGUGCGGGAUGACGGGCUUCGGGUUGUAAACCGCUUUCGCCUGUGACGAAGCGUGAGUGACGGUAAUGGGUAAAGAAGCACCGGCUAACUACGUG